CCCACUCUUGCGCAUGUGGUCUGCGCGCUCGACUGAAACUCGAGAGGUCCUGGUUCGAUUCCAGGGGGUGGGA
Molecule: transfer RNA, 73 nt
Filed under: Kofleriaceae bacterium
Lineage: Bacteria; Pseudomonadati; Myxococcota; Haliangiales; Kofleriaceae
Description: tRNA-Phe
Rfam family: tRNA
About the family: Transfer RNA (tRNA) molecules are approximately 80 nucleotides in length. Their secondary structure includes four short double-helical elements and three loops (D, anti-codon, and T loops).
Source: RNAcentral